GAAGACUGGAAGAUGGCCGCCCGACACCAGUCGGGAGGAAAGUCCGAGCACCGCAGGGCAGGGCGCUGGGUAACACCCAGUCCCGGCGACGGGAAGGAAAGUGCCACAGAAAACAAACCGCCGGACUCCGGUCCGGUAAGGGUGAAAAGGCGAGGUAAGAGCUCACCGCGUCUCCGGUGACGGAGACGGCAUGGUAAACCCCGCCCGGUGCAAGACCAAAUAGGGAGGCUCGCAUUCGUGCGGAAGGCUGGCCCGGCCCACGCCUCCGGGUAAGGUCGCUAGAGUCCAGGGGCAACCCUGGUCCCAGAGUAAUGGCCAUCCUCGACAGAACUCGGCUUACGAAGGUCUUCCCCG
This 354-nucleotide RNase P RNA is filed under the name Leptospirillum ferrodiazotrophum. RNAcentral describes it as "Bacterial RNase P class A". It matches the Rfam family "Bacterial RNase P class A". Rfam says of the family: Ribonuclease P (RNase P) is a ubiquitous endoribonuclease, found in archaea, bacteria and eukarya as well as chloroplasts and mitochondria. Its best characterised activity is the generation of mature 5'-ends of tRNAs by cleaving the 5'-leader elements of precursor-tRNAs. Cellular RNase Ps are ribonucleoproteins. The record is from Rfam by way of RNAcentral. Lineage: Bacteria; Pseudomonadati; Nitrospirota; Nitrospiria; Nitrospirales; Nitrospiraceae.